AUUAAAUUAACCCUAUAUAUCCCUAAUCUAUGAGAGCUACUAGUAUUAGCAGUACUCUGAGUUUUUUCAAAGCGUAUAAUAACCGUUGCAAGUUCUUUCACGGAUGGAAACAAAGAGGGACAACCACAGCAGCAAACAGCAUGUAAUUCGACUAGAAAAAACAUUGAAAAAGUUGGUCUCACUCCUGGUUUACAGCUAACCUUCGACUGAUACAACUCUAUAUAGC
RNAcentral lists this long non-coding RNA (226 nucleotides) under Theobroma cacao (cacao). Its description in RNAcentral is "long non-coding RNA (TCAC_LNC005058)". The record is from RNAcentral. Lineage: Eukaryota; Viridiplantae; Streptophyta; Magnoliopsida; Malvales; Malvaceae.